GACGAACGCUGGCGGCGUGCUUAACACAUGCAAGUCGAACGAAGUGGCGAACGGGUGAGUAACGCGUAAUCAACCUGCCCUUCAGAGGGGGACAACAGUUGGAAACGCCUGCUACUACCCCAAACUGAAGGAGGGGAUUGCGUCGGAUUAGCUAGUUGGAGGGGUAACGGCCCACCAAGGAGAUGAUAAGUAGCCGAUCUGAGAGGAUGAACGGCCACAUUGGGACUGAGACACGGCCCAGACUCCUCCGGGAGGCAGCAGUGGGGAAUCUUCCGCAAUGGACGAAAGUCUGACGGAGCAACGCCGCGUGAGUGAUGACGGCCUUCGGGUUGUAAAGCUCUGUUAAUCGGGACGCGGUACCGGAAUAGAAAGCCACGGCUAACUACGUGCCAGCCGCCGCGGUAAUUC
Molecule: ribosomal RNA, 408 nt
Filed under: uncultured bacterium
Lineage: Bacteria
Description: partial 16S ribosomal RNA
Rfam family: Bacterial small subunit ribosomal RNA
Source: RNAcentral